RNAcentral lists this ribosomal RNA (397 nucleotides) under uncultured bacterium. RNAcentral describes it as "partial 16S ribosomal RNA". It matches the Rfam family "Bacterial small subunit ribosomal RNA", at positions 523 to 918 of the family's 1533-position model. The record is from RNAcentral.
AUACGUAGGGGACAAGCGUUGUCCGGAAUGACUGGGCGUAAAGGGCGCGUAGGCGGCGCGGUAAGUCUGGAGUGAAAGUCCUGCUUUCAAGGUGGGAAUUGCUUUGGAUACUGCCGCGCUUGAGUGCAGGAGAGGUUAUCGGAAUUCCCGGUGUAGCGGUGAAAUGCGUAGAGAUCGGGAGGAACACCAGUGGCGAAGGCGGGUAACUGGACUGCAACUGACGCUGAGGCGCGAAAGUGUGGGGAGCAAACAGGAUUAGAUACCCUGGUAGUCCACACUGUAAACGAUGAAUGCUAGGUGUAAGAGGUAUCGACCCCUUUUGUGCCGGAGUCAACACAAUAAGCAUUCCGCCUGGGGAGUACGGCCGCAAGGUUGAAACUCAAAGGAAUUGACGGGG